This 254-nucleotide ribosomal RNA is filed under the name uncultured bacterium. RNAcentral describes it as "partial 16S ribosomal RNA". It matches the Rfam family "Bacterial small subunit ribosomal RNA", at positions 524 to 776 of the family's 1533-position model. The record is from RNAcentral.
UACGUAGGGGGCAAGCGUUGUCCGGAUUCAUUGGGCGUAAAGAGCUCGUAGGCGGUUCAGUAAGUCGGGUGUGAAAUCUCCGUGCUCAACACGGAGCGGCCACCUGAUACUGCUGUGACUCGAGUCCGGUAGGGGAGUGUGGAAUUCCCGGUGUAGCGGUGAAAUGCGCAGAUAUCGGGAGGAACACCAGUGGCGAAGGCGGCUAACUGGUCCGGUACUGACGCUGAGGUGCGAAAGCGUGGGGAGCAAACAGG